Strigops habroptila (Kakapo) is the source of this 937-nucleotide long non-coding RNA. RefSeq lists it as uncharacterized. Lineage: Eukaryota; Metazoa; Chordata; Aves; Psittaciformes; Psittacidae. The record is from RefSeq and is a predicted model, not a curated record. The transcript is spliced from 3 exons.
UUAAAAUGUCUCCAAUGUAUGAACUAAAAUCUCUGUAGAUUGGCACCCACUACAGAAAGCCUCUCAAGACUCCCCGGGGUCUUUCAGCUGCUGGACCAAUACGCCACCACCACAGACUGACCAAAUGAAUUCCACCCUUGCGGCUCUUACCUUCGCUCUCUGGACACCUACCAUCCCCACCGAGGAGCUGAGCAGGAUCCUUCCGGCUUGGAGAUACGGAGGCAAAACUAAUCUUUCUGUCUGAUGGUUACCUGCUGUAGUUGUGGGCUGAUGGCAGUGCAGACAAGAGGCAUGGAGAGCAGGGGAAGUCAGGCACCAGACCUGACAGGCGCGAGACUUUCUUUUAUGCUCUCCGUGACUUGCUGGGCUGUGCUUAGGCAGCAAGAGGAAGAAGCCUGAAUGCAGAAAGGACAAACACCGGAACCGGUGCACUGGAGGAAAGGACUGGAGAAAUACACCAGGACUGACAGCCUGAGGGACAAACACAGAGUCCGGCAGAGUCUGGGAGCUGCAGCUGAAAAGCUUUCAAGGGAGCAGCAGACUCUGGACAAAGACCAGAGGAGAAACAGACUGCAAGAAGUUUCCUGCUCACUUAGGUGGUGAGCUUCCACUAUGGGUUGUGUUUCCUCAAGGCGUGGUGCUACACGUCUUCUAGCAUGACGAGGACUUGAUCUAAAGCCCUGUAACAGAAAAAGCAAUCAUCGUGUUUGACAUCUCCCAGAAUGGAGCUGUGUAACAACAGAAAAAUCAUACAGGAUCUUAACAACAACUUGAGAAACACAGCGUGGAAGCGCUCUGACGGAAGCUCAGCAGACCUCCCCUCCCUGGGUUCCCUUUCAAGCCACUGAAGUCAGCAGGUCAGAGGAAUGGCACCUAUUUCUCCCCACUGGCCAUAAAGAGGGCCCAAGCCGAUUACUUCACUUGUAGACAUCUAUAC